This is a long non-coding RNA of Pomacea canaliculata, 612 nucleotides long. RefSeq lists it as uncharacterized. The record is from RefSeq and is a predicted model, not a curated record. NCBI's taxonomy places the organism in Eukaryota, Metazoa, Mollusca, Gastropoda, Architaenioglossa, Ampullariidae. The transcript is spliced from 4 exons.
AGGACAGUGACUGGGAUUCUGCAUUUGAAGCGGUGACCCCAAGACUGAAUGCUGGGCUUGCUUACAGACAAGUCACAAAGCAAGAUAGUGAUUGGGACACCACAGUAGAGACCAUAACUCCCAGAGAAGGUCCUGGCUUUUCUUGCACAACAGAGAGCAGCUGAUGAUACUAUUUUGAGUGAAGAUGAUGAAGCAGAAGCAGCAAUCGCAGCAGUUGUCCAUGGCAACCUCCCAAUGCCUAGCAUUGUGAAGACACAAGUGUCAAUCUCAAAUGAGCCACUGGGCACUGAAACAGCACAUGAUGUCACUGCCAUCACAUGCAAUGCAGCCUCAAGUGUAACAAAACAUAUUUCAGCCAGAGAAACAUUGCAUGAUGAUGACAGGGAUGAUGAUGAUGAUGAUGAUGAUGAUGAUGAUCAGUCAUCCUGGGAUUCUGAAGAGGAUAUGCCACCGUCUGAUGCUGCUCUUCCACUACCUAUGGAUGUUGCACUACCAUCACUGCAGCAGCAAAAGCAACAGUUGCAAGCACUGAACAUGAAGUGAUGUCAGAUACAGAUGAUGAAAUGGAUGAGACUGAGCCAGUCAGUGAGUGGGAGUUGGAGCACAUGCAAA